Molecule: ribosomal RNA, 342 nt
Filed under: uncultured fungus
Lineage: Eukaryota; Fungi
Description: SSU rRNA
Rfam family: Eukaryotic small subunit ribosomal RNA
Source: RNAcentral
GGUUCAUUCAAAUUUCUGCCCUAUCAACUUUCGACUUUAGUGUAGUGGACUAAAGUGGUUACAACGGGUAACGGAGGGUUAGGGCUCGACCCCGGAGAAGGAGCCUGAGAAACGGUACUACAUCCAAGGAAGGCAGCAGGCGCGCAAAUUACCCAAUCCCGACCGGGGAGGUAGUGACAAUAAAUACUGAUACAGGGCUCUUUCGGGUCUUGUAAUUGGAAUGAGUACAAUUUAAAUCCCUUAACGGGGAACAAUUGGAGGGCAAGUCUGGUGCCAGCAGCCGGGUAAUUCCAGCUCCAAUAGCGUAUAUUAAAGUUGUUGAGGUUAAAAAGCUCGUAGUUG